This 292-nucleotide ribosomal RNA is filed under the name uncultured bacterium. RNAcentral describes it as "partial 16S ribosomal RNA". It matches the Rfam family "Bacterial small subunit ribosomal RNA", at positions 505 to 796 of the family's 1533-position model. The record is from RNAcentral.
GUGUCAGCAGCCGCGGUAAUACGUAGGUGGCAAGCGUUGUCCGGAUUUACUGGGCGUAAAGAGCGCGCAGGCGGUUGAUUAAGUCGAAUGUGAAAGCCCCCGGCUCAACUGGGGAGGGUCAUUCGAUACUGAUCGACUUGAAGGCAGGAGAGGGAAGUGGAAUUCCGGGUGUAGUGGUGAAAUGCGUAGAUAUCCGGAGGAACACCAGUGGCGAAGGCGACUUCCUGGCCUGUUCUUGACGCUGAGGCGCGAAAGCUGGGGGAGCAAACGGGAUUAGAAACCCCUGUAGUCC